UACGUAGGGUGCAAGCGUUGUCCGGAAUUAUUGGGCGUAAAGAGCGUGUAGGCGGCCCGACCAGUCCGCUGUGAAAGUCCAGGGCUCAACCCUGGAAUGCCGGUGGAUACUGUCGGGCUAGAGUCCGGAAUGGGCGAGUGGAAUUCCUGGUGUAGCGGUGAAAUGCGCAGAUAUCAGGAGGAACACCGAUGGCGAAGGCAGGUCUCUGGGCCACUACUGACGCUGAGAAGCGAAAGCAUGGGGAGCGAACAGG
RNAcentral lists this ribosomal RNA (253 nucleotides) under uncultured bacterium. RNAcentral describes it as "partial 16S ribosomal RNA". It matches the Rfam family "Bacterial small subunit ribosomal RNA", at positions 524 to 776 of the family's 1533-position model. The record is from RNAcentral.